Long non-coding RNA from Pan troglodytes (chimpanzee), 1497 nucleotides. RefSeq lists it as uncharacterized. NCBI's taxonomy places the organism in Eukaryota, Metazoa, Chordata, Mammalia, Primates, Hominidae. The record is from RefSeq and is a predicted model, not a curated record. The transcript is spliced from 3 exons.
ACUCAGAAGUCGAGUGGGCACGUGCGGUAGUUGCUGUGGCACCAUCUCCAUUGACUGUCAUGCUGCUUCAUCCCCUCUGCAGAGGUUACACUUGUCAACCUCCAGAGAAGGCACAGGAUGGAUAAUGAUGUUCUAAACUAUGAAUGCACAGUGAAUUUGAAGAUAUCAUUGAUUUUAUUAAUUCAAAGAGAGCAUAAGGACAUUAUGGAGGAAAUAUAUCACAGUGGUUAAGGAAACAGCUUCUGGAGCCAGACUGUCUAGGUCCAAAUUCUGGCUCUGAUACUUGCUGGCUUGGCACUUUAUCUUUCAGGUGUCUUGAGGCAUCCAUCAUCCUGGAAGAAGACUAUGAUUUAUAACAGAAGGAAUGCAAAAAUAAAGAACAAGUUAAUAUUUCUCUUUUGGCAUGUCAAAUAGAAUUAUUCAGCAAGACGAUAACCUUGCAAGCCAGGCGUUGUCUUGAAAAACCAUUUCCAAAUUUCUUUAAUCCUUCCCUUUGGCUUUUCAACAAUGCAGCCUGAUUGAACCAGUUUAUGGAGUUCUCCCCAAGUGCAGAGAAAAUACCCACAUCCUUUAUUAGGGUAUCUCUAAGAAACUGAAGUAUGGAGGGCAUGAUGCAGGGGAAAUCUGUCAUUUUGGGGCCCUUUGUGAUAGAGAGAAAGAGAGAGAAAGGAGGAAGAAGAAGAUGAGAGAAUCAGUUUUGAUCAUGUAUUCUCCCAGCUUUGGCCCAGAAAAUAGGGAGGCCUAUUGGAUGAGUGGGGAUAUCACCAAGGGCAGAGGAAGCUUUUGUCCUUCUCCCUGCUUGAGACUCUGCAGAAUAGACUGUCAUCCUGGGGUGUGACCACAUCCACAUGGCAGUGUGGUAUGACCUGGCAGAGGGAGGCCUUGACACUUAGUUUUCCUGAGCCAUUCUUAUUUCCAGUGAGGCACAGAUGGACCCAGAAAAUGGUGGGAGUUUGGCUGGGGAGUAAUACCAAUGGGAGUCACCAUGGUUGGGCAAGGUCAAGGUACUCCGUAGCAAGGGCUGCCCAGUGGACCACCUGGGCCAGGCCAAUUGGAGUCACAGCAAAUGGGAAGGAGUCUAGACCCAAUAGAUGAGUCCAAAAAGCUGCAGAGAGUGAGAGCUAGCAAGGCAGUCCCCUGGGCUCUGAUCUGCUGAGGAAAGCCUAGGCCGUAAGUUACUCUUGUACAGACACAGACUUCAGCUGUGAAUCCCAGUAGGGUAAGAUGCAUGCAGGUGGAUCAGGGACUUCCACCUAACCCUGCCUAGAAGAGUAAGAGGAAUCUGACGUUUUGCCUGCCGCGAAGGUGUUCAAGCUCCACCUGUCCCUCUUCAUAUGCAGAUGUCAUCUUGGAGGGGAGCUAGAAGACUGAUGUGUUUGAGAAACUAAGCCUUUAUUUCCCCUCAGAGGGGACCAUUCUUUGAAGGGACCAUUUAAAUUAUCGUGUAAUACGAAGGUUCAAACUUUAUUAGAUAUUAAAACAAUGAGGUUGUCCUUU